UCCCUGGUGGCUCAUAUGGUAAAGAAUCUGCCUGCAGGGCAGGAGACCCAGGUUCGAUUCCUGGGUAGGGAA
Bos taurus (domestic cattle) is the source of this 72-nucleotide non-coding RNA. Lineage: Eukaryota; Metazoa; Chordata; Mammalia; Artiodactyla; Bovidae. The record is from Rfam.